CUUUUUUUUUUUAAGAUUUCUUAAUUUUAAUCUGUAGUAUUUGAGUAGUUUCUUAUCCACCAUCUGUUAAUUUGGUUUUGCAAAUGCUAGACUAGGAACCACCCACAUUUAGCACCUAUUCUCUUCCUCCCCUCCAAUAAAAGCCAUGACUAAAUAAUUAUUUAGCAAAAGAUUAAUCCCCUACUCCCUCUAAUUACCAAUGUGGGGUUGGUUGUUCA
Non-coding RNA from Chrysemys picta bellii (western painted turtle), 218 nucleotides. The record is from RefSeq and is a predicted model, not a curated record. Lineage: Eukaryota; Metazoa; Chordata; Testudines; Emydidae.